Molecule: long non-coding RNA, 382 nt
Filed under: Bos mutus (wild yak)
Lineage: Eukaryota; Metazoa; Chordata; Mammalia; Artiodactyla; Bovidae
Description: lncRNA (ENSBMUG00000013589.1)
Source: RNAcentral
GAGCCUAAGCUACCAGGCUACUUAAUUCAGAAACUCCAAACCACCAGCUGGAACAUCUUUCAGAUGACCAGAUCCCACUGACAUAGAAUUGGCAACAACAGCCAGAGCUGACACACCUCCUCCAUCACGGCGCUCUUUCUUGCUGAGCCAGGACAAAACCCCAGGUUCCCUCUCAAGAACUGCUCCCAUCCCCAUACCACCAUAUUUAGCCAAAGGACUGCAGAGAGCACGUUCACGUUUCACUUAUGUAAUAUACCACCACAAGAUGAGGAGGAGGAGGUGGAGCCAGAGAAAGAAGUCAAAAAAGCUCGUCGUGUCGUUCGCCGUACGAAGACGUUAGAACUAGAUACGGACUGGAUCAACAGCAAGCUUAAGGUAAUGC